This 771-nucleotide ribosomal RNA is filed under the name uncultured bacterium. RNAcentral's name for it is "bacterial SSU rRNA". It matches the Rfam family "Bacterial small subunit ribosomal RNA", at positions 1 to 771 of the family's 1533-position model. The record is from RNAcentral.
CCCUUAGAGUUUGAUCCUGGCUCAGAUUGAACGCUGGCGGCAUGCCUUACACAUGCAAGUCGAACGGUAACAGGUCUUCGGAUGCUGACGAGUGGCGAACGGGUGAGUAAUACAUCGGAACGUGCCCGAUCGUGGGGGAUAACGGAGCGAAAGCUUUGCUAAUACCGCAUACGAUCUACGGAUGAAAGCAGGGGACCGCAAGGCCUUGCGCGGACGGAGCGGCCGAUGGCAGAUUAGGUAGUUGGUGGGAUAAAAGCUUACCAAGCCGACGAUCUGUAGCUGGUCUGAGAGGACGACCAGCCACACUGGGACUGAGACACGGCCCAGACUCCUACGGGAGGCAGCAGUGGGGAAUUUUGGACAAUGGGCGAAAGCCUGAUCCAGCCAUGCCGCGUGCAGGAUGAAGGCCUUCGGGUUGUAAACUGCUUUUGUACGGAACGAAAAGACUCUUUCUAAUAAAGAGGGUCCAUGACGGUACCGUAAGAAUAAGCACCGGCUAACUACGUGCCAGCAGCCGCGGUAAUACGUAGGGUGCAAGCGUUAAUCGGAAUUACUGGGCGUAAAGCGUGCGCAGGCGGUUAUAUAAGACAGAUGUGAAAUCCCCGGGCUCAACCUGGGAACUGCAUUUGUGACUGUAUAGCUAGAGUACGGUAGAGGGGGAUGGAAUUCCGCGUGUAGCAGUGAAAUGCGUAGAUAUGCGGAGGAACACCGAUGGCGAAAGCAAUCCCCUGGACCUGUACUGACGCUCAUGCACGAAAGCGUGGGGAGCAA